CAAUAGCGUAUAUUAAAGUUGUUGCAGUUAAAAAGCUCGUAGUUGGAUUUGUGGCGUACGGUGUGUUCCGGGCACUUGUUGUCUGAGUAACCUGCUGUUGCCAUCCUUGGGUGGAACCUGUGUGGCAUUAGGUUGUCGUGCAGGGGAUGCCCAUCAUUUACUGUGAAAAAAUUAGAGUGUUCAAAGCAGGCCUAUGCCGUUGAAUAUAUUAGCAUGGAAUAAUGAGAUAGGACUUUUUUGCUAUUUUGUUGGUUUGCGCAAAGAGGUAAUGAUUAAUAGGGACAGUUGGGGGUAUUCGUAUUCCAUUGUCAGAGGUGAAAUUCUUGGAUUUUGGAAGACGAACUACUGCGAAAGCAUUUACCAAGGAUGUUUUCAUUAA
RNAcentral lists this ribosomal RNA (379 nucleotides) under uncultured eukaryote. RNAcentral describes it as "partial 18S ribosomal RNA". It matches the Rfam family "Eukaryotic small subunit ribosomal RNA", at positions 592 to 976 of the family's 1831-position model. The record is from RNAcentral.